AUUAAGCUUUUAUCACAUUUCGAAAACUAUGAACUAACAAACAUAUCUUCUUACUACGUAAAGGAUUAGUUGAAAAAACUGAAACAUUAAAACUAAACUAUAUAUUAAGAGUUAAGAGAAAAGAGAACAAAAAGAAAAAAAUAGAAUAAAAUAAAAAAUUAUGCAAAACGAUGCAAAAGAAUGAAUUGAAACCAAAAAAAAAAUCUGUUUUGUUGCUAAUUUUAAUUAGAGUUUGAAUUAUCAUCUAAAAUAGAAAUUUACUAAUAUAUUUAAUAUAUAAAAAAUUUAUAAAUAUAGUUGUAAAGUUCAACAAAUUUUAUAUAAAAAUGCCUUAUAAAUAAUAUUUUAACAAAAAAUUACAAAAAAUUAUUUGUUUAUAGGUAAUAAUACGAAUAUUUUUUUUAAAAAAUAUGCUCUAUUAUUUUGGAUGCCCUAAUCCACAGCUUGGGUGGCUUGCCCUCCGGGCCGGCCCUGUCAUUGACACAACGUUACUCAUUGACACAACGUUAGGUAUAUACACUUUAGAGCAAAGAUUCAAGAUUUAUGUUGCCGGCCGACUUUUAGUUCUAACCUUUUAGCAUAGUACUGUAGGGGUUGGCAACUUGAUUAUCGCGAUUAAUGAUUUGUGGAUAUAUUGUGCCAGCUGUUAUGUCAUUAAUGAGCUUUCCAAAUUGCAAAGCAGACCAUCAUCUUGGACUUUUCUCACAUCAGUCGACAACACUUGCAAUUUGAUCCACUGCAUUUAUAUAAUAUUUCAUCUUUUAGUUAUCUUGUUACUGGACCGUAAUUAAGAAAUUAGUCAGCAGUGACUCUAGUAUAAGUGUGUUUAAAGAUCUAAUAUAUUAAAAUAGAAGUUACAACUUCACUUCAUGUG
This 874-nucleotide long non-coding RNA is filed under the name Brassica rapa (field mustard). Its description in RNAcentral is "long non-coding RNA (BRAP_LNC001424)". Lineage: Eukaryota; Viridiplantae; Streptophyta; Magnoliopsida; Brassicales; Brassicaceae. The record is from RNAcentral.